This 1061-nucleotide long non-coding RNA is filed under the name Equus asinus (donkey). RNAcentral's name for it is "lncRNA (ENSEASG00005029564.1, ENSEASG00020000834.1)". Lineage: Eukaryota; Metazoa; Chordata; Mammalia; Perissodactyla; Equidae. The record is from RNAcentral.
AGAUAAUGAGGUGAUACUUUUCAAAGAGGCUGCAGGUGGUGAAGAGAGCCAUUAUCAAGUUAAAAAAGAAGAUGUAGGAGUUUAAGGUCAUGACAAAGGAGAAGAGUGGGAGGAAGGGCUCCUAGGCAUUUGGGUGUGACACUCAUUCAGGAACUUUUGUAGAGCUCAUCUUCUGGGACGGCCAUUUUGCUGGGUUGUAGAGACAACAUUGGGACGUAAGAUAGAAAUGUUCACUGACUACUUUGAAGCCACUGCCUAGUCUGGCAGAGAAGAUUGAAAUUCUUUCACAAGUGCUAUCCUUGUCAUCAAGGUCAUCAAGACCUGUACCCAUCACUGACCUGGUGGUAGUUUCUGCAGGUGAAGAAAGAAGACUCGGCCUGGUGUUAAACUCAGCGGUAUUGUUACAUGCCAAGGUUGAGAAUCAGAGACAGUUACAACUUGAAAAAGCACUAGGGGGAGCCAGACCCCUUUCAGAUGAAUUCUUCUUUGUCCUGCAGCUGGAGCCCAACUCCAGCCCACAUUUAGAUCGGCUUGUAAACUUGAGAAUUUAGUGCUCAUCUCAGUCCAUAGACGCGGUUACAUGUGUAUUUGAAAUUUAAAAUCACAGAUUUUAGAGAGUAAACUUUUAUGCAUUAAAAGGGACUUAGGAGACCUAUUAUCUAAAUGCAAUCUAUGGACCUUGUUUGGAUCCUGAUUCAAACAAACCAGUCUUAAAAAGAUGUUUGUGGGACAACUAGGGAAAUUUGAGCAGGCACUAAAUAUUAUAUUAGGGAACUAUUGUUAAUUUUAUUAGGUGUUAUAAUGGUAUCUUGUUAAUGCCAAAAAAUUCCUUUUAAAUCCUGUUAAAGAUGCAUAUGGAAGAUUUUUUACAUGAAAUUAUAUGAUGCCUGUAAUUCAUUAUAAAAUAUCUCACAAUAAAGUGUGUGUGUGCACGUGUGUGUGAUUGUGUGUGUGAUAAUAGAUGAAAUAAGAUUGAUGAUAUCUUGAUAAUUGCUGGAACUGAGGUUCAUUAUAACACUUUUGUGAGUGUUUGAAAUUUUUCAUUAAAAGUAAAAAUAAAA